UAAGAUUCAAAGUAGUCACCGGAUGAGUU
RNAcentral lists this non-coding RNA (29 nucleotides) under Rattus norvegicus (Norway rat). The record is from RNAcentral. Lineage: Eukaryota; Metazoa; Chordata; Mammalia; Rodentia; Muridae.